AGAGUUUGAUCAUGGCUCAGAAUGAACGCUGGCGGCGUGCCUAACACAUGCAAGUCGCGCGAGAAAGGGGGCUUCGGUUCCCGAGUAAAGUGGCGCACGGGUGAGUAACGCGUAGGCAACCUACCCCCGGGUUGGGGAUAACAGUGCGAAAGCGCUGCUAAUACCGGAUACGACAUUGGAGCGGGAGCUUCAAGGUGAAAGUCGGCCUCUCGAAGAAGCUGAUGUUCGGGGAUGGGCCUGCGUCCUAUCAGCUAGUUGGUAGGGUAACGGCCUACCAAGGCGACGACGGGUAGCUGGUCUGAGAGGAUGAUCAGCCACACUGGCACUGGAACACGGGCCAGACUCCUACGGGAGGCAGCAGUGAGGAAUUUUGCGCAAUGGCCGCAAGGCUGACGCAGCAACGCCGCGUGGGUGAAGAAGGCCUUCGGGUCGUAAAGCCCUGUCAGGUGGGAAGAAAGGCUUGGGGGUGAACAGCUCUUGAGUUUGACGGUACCACCAGAGGAAGCACCGGCUAACUCCGUGCCAGCAGCCGCGGUAAUACGGAGGGUGCGAGCGUUAUUCGGAAUUACUGGGCGUAAAGCGCGUGUAGGCGGGGAAGCAAGUCUGAUGUGAAAGCCCUGGGCUUAACCUGGGAAGUGCAUUGGAAACUGUUUUUCUUGAGUACUGGAGAGGAAGGGAGAAUUCCCGGUGUAGAGGUGAAAUUCGUAGAGAUCGGGAGGAACACCAGUGGCGAAGGCGCCCUUCUGGACGGUUACUGACGCUGAGACGCGAGAGCGUGGGGAGCAAACAGGAUUAGAUACCCUGGUAGUCCACGCUGUAAACGAUGAUCACUAGGUGUAGCGGGUAAUCAUUCCUGCUGUGCCGUAGCUAACGCGUUAAGUGAUCCGCCUGGGGAUUACGGUCGCAAGACUAAAACUCAAAGGAAUUGACGGGGGCCCGCACAAGCGGUGGAGUAUGUGGUUUAAUUCGACGCAACGCGAAGAACCUUACCUUG
This 994-nucleotide ribosomal RNA is filed under the name uncultured bacterium. Its description in RNAcentral is "bacterial SSU rRNA". It matches the Rfam family "Bacterial small subunit ribosomal RNA", at positions 8 to 978 of the family's 1533-position model. The record is from RNAcentral.